GUGGGGAAUAUUGGACAAUGGGCGAAAGCCUGAUCCAGCCAUGCCGCGUGUGUGAAGAAGGUCUUCGGAUUGUAAAGCACUUUAAGUUGGGAGGAAGGGCAGUAAGUUAAUACCUUGCUGUUUUGACGUUACCGACAGAAUAAGCACCGGCUAACUUCGUGCCAGCAGCCGCGGUAAUACGAAGGGUGCAAGCGUUAAUCGGAAUUACUGGGCGUAAAGCGCGCGUAGGUGGUUUUGUAAGUUGGAGGUUAAAUCCCCGGGCUCAACCUGGGAACUGCCUCCAAAACUGCAUGACUAGAGUACGGUAGAGGGUAGUGGAAUUUCCUGUGUAGCGGUGAAAUGCGUAGAUAUAGGAAGGAACACCAGUGGCGAAGGCGACUACCUGGACUGAUACUGACACUGAGGUGCGAAAGCGUGGGGAGCAAACAGGAUUAGAAACCCCUGUAGUCC
RNAcentral lists this ribosomal RNA (450 nucleotides) under uncultured bacterium. RNAcentral describes it as "bacterial SSU rRNA". It matches the Rfam family "Bacterial small subunit ribosomal RNA", at positions 354 to 796 of the family's 1533-position model. The record is from RNAcentral.